AUGCACCUCGCAUUUCUCAUCCUCACGCCCUUCCUGAGCCAGAUCCAGGGCACCACAGGGCAGACCACAGUCAUGCAGGAAGGUGGACCAGUCAUGGUGAAGCAGGGACAGCCCUUCCAAACCACCUGCAAAUACCAGACCAGUAUUAAUGCCUUGCUCUGGUACCAGCUGCGGGACGGCCAAGUCCCAGAGCUGCUCUCCUAUCAGUCAGGGCCUGGCCCCAGGCACAGCGGCCGUUUCACCACGGAUCUGAACACCACGGGCAAAUACAGUGUCCUGCGGGUGGAGGAAGUGGAGGUCUCUGACAGUGUCUGCUACCUCUGUGCUGUGCAAGACACCCUGGUGCAGGGAGCUUCCUGA
Non-coding RNA from Malurus melanocephalus (red-backed fairy wren), 360 nucleotides. Lineage: Eukaryota; Metazoa; Chordata; Aves; Passeriformes; Maluridae. The record is from the annotation of a RefSeq genome assembly.